Molecule: ribosomal RNA, 460 nt
Filed under: uncultured bacterium
Lineage: Bacteria
Description: partial 16S ribosomal RNA
Rfam family: Bacterial small subunit ribosomal RNA
Source: RNAcentral
CCUACGGGGUGCAGCAGUGAGGAAUAUUGGUCAAUGGUCGAAAGACUGAACCAGCCAAGUAGCGUGAAGGAUGACUGCCCUAUGGGUUGUAAACUUCUUUUAUAUGGGAAUAAAACGUUCCACGUGUGGUGUUUUGUAUGUACCAUAUGAAUAAGGAUCGGCUAACUCCGUGCCAGCAGCCGCGGUAAUACGGAGGAUCCGAGCGUUAUCCGGAUUUAUUGGGUUUAAAGGGAGCGUAGGUGGAUUGUUAAGUCAGCUGUGAAAUUCUGGGGCUCAACCGUAGAAUUGCAGCUGAAACUGGCAGUCUUGAGUACAGUAGAGGUAGGCGGAAUUCGUGGUGUAGCGGUGAAAUGCUUAGAUAUCACGAAGAACUCCGAUUGCGAAGGCAGUUUACUGGAGUGCAACUGACGCUGAGGCUCGAAAGCGUGGGUAUCAAACAGGAUUAGAUACCCGUGUAGUC